AUUGAACGCUGGCGGCAUGCCUUACACAUGCAAGUCGAACGGCAGCGCGGGGCAACCUGGCGGCGAGUGGCGAACGGGUGAGUAAUAUAUCGGAACGUACCCUGGAGUGGGGGAUAACGUAGCGAAAGUUACGCUAAUACCGCAUACGAUCUAAGGAUGAAAGUGGGGGAUCGCAAGACCUCAUGCUCCUGGAGCGGCCGAUAUCUGAUUAGCUAGUUGGUGGGGUAAAGGCCUACCAAGGCAUCGAUCAGUAGCUGGUCUGAGAGGACGACCAGCCACACUGGAACUGAGACACGGUCCAGACUCCUACGGGAGGCAGCAGUGGGGAAUUUUGGACAAUGGGCGCAAGCCUGAUCCAGCAAUGCCGCGUGAGUGAAGAAGGCCUCGGGUUGUAAAGCUCUUUUGUCAGGGAAAGAAAACGGUGAGGGCUAAUAUCCCUUGCUAAUGACGGUACCUGAAGAAUAAGCACCGGCAAAACUACGUGCCAGCAGCCGCGGUAAUACGUAGGGUGCAAGCGUUAAUCGGAAUUACUGGGCGUAAAAGCGUGCGCAGGCGGUUUUGUAAGUCUGUCGUGAAAAUCCCCGGGCUCAACCUGGGAAUUGCGAUGGAGACUGCAAGGCUAGAAUCUGGCAAGAGGGGGUAGAAUUCCAGCGUGUAGCAGUGAAAUGCGUAGAGAAUGUGGAGGAAC
Molecule: ribosomal RNA, 688 nt
Filed under: uncultured bacterium
Lineage: Bacteria
Description: bacterial SSU rRNA
Rfam family: Bacterial small subunit ribosomal RNA
Source: RNAcentral